GGUAAACCUGAGAAACCCAAAAGAUCGAAUGGGGAGAUUCAUCGUCAGCUCAUUUUGUAUAUGUAUGAGUUAUGAUGUGAGUUACUCNUUGUAGUAUUGCUCGCACGUACUUAUGCAUUUAUUUGCAAGGUGUUGUCGGCGUGCACUUCUCCCCUAGUAGGACGUCGCGACCCGUUGGGUAUCGGUCUACGACCCGAGUNGGUAGACUUNUAAUGUUUUNAUAAUAUUAAAGACCCUUGGUGUUUUCUGACCGGCUGCCCGGCGGUAUUCGUACGGUAUUUAGCCGCAUUUANUNUUGCGUCCAUGUCCAUCGCAAGCGCGGCCAAUUUCUGGUAGUACGGACCUAGUGCCGUCGCUGGAAUUGGCCAG
This 369-nucleotide ribosomal RNA is filed under the name Heterospilus sp. MAS-2010. Its description in RNAcentral is "eukaryotic LSU rRNA". Lineage: Eukaryota; Metazoa; Arthropoda; Insecta; Hymenoptera; Braconidae. The record is from RNAcentral.